UAUCCGGAUUUACUGGGCGUAAAGGGUGCGUAGGCGGUCUUUCAAGUCAGGAGUGAAAGGCUACGGCUCAACCGUAGUAAGCUCUUGAAACUGGGAGACUUGAGUGCAGGAGAGGAGAGUGGAAUUCCUAGUGUAGCGGUGAAAUGCGUAGAUAUUAGGAGGAACACCAGUUGCGAAGGCGGCUCUCUGGACUGUAACUGACGCUGAGGCACGAAAGCGUGGGGAGCAAACAGGAUUAGAUACCCUGGUAGUCCACGCUGUAAACGAUGAGUACUAGGUGUCGGGGGUUACCCCC
RNAcentral lists this ribosomal RNA (295 nucleotides) under Clostridioides difficile. RNAcentral's name for it is "partial 16S ribosomal RNA". It matches the Rfam family "Bacterial small subunit ribosomal RNA", at positions 542 to 841 of the family's 1533-position model. RNAcentral also lists the same sequence under 1 other name. Lineage: Bacteria; Bacillati; Bacillota; Clostridia; Peptostreptococcales; Peptostreptococcaceae. The record is from RNAcentral.